UUUUGUUUUGUUUUGUUUUUUGACAGGGUCUUGCUCUGUCACCCAGGCUGGAGUGCAGUGGUGCCAUCUCAGCUCACUGUAACCUCUGCCUCCUGGGUUCAAGUAAUUCUCCUGUCUCAGCCUCCUGAGCUGAGACAGGCAAGAGAAUUGCUUGGGCACGGGAGGCGGAGGCUGCAGUGAGCUGAGAUCACGCCACUGUACUCCAGCAUGGGCAACAGAGCAAGACUCCAUCUCAAAAAUAAAUAAAUAAAUAAAAGCGUAAUAGGCUCCAAAACUGUUCCAAAUUACUCCUAGGCUUUUUCCCCCUAAAAAUUAUGUGCAUUAGGAGAAAAUGGGAGGAAAAAUGAAAUUUCUCUAUCUUUUCUCAUUGAUGAAAGGUUAGAGAUUGUGUUGUUGUAAAAUACCCUUUUGCUCUGGGCCCCAAGCCAAAAAUAAAGGGAGGAAACCAGGCAAUUAGAUGUUUGAUUUGAUGAAAACUUUUCCUUAAAAAGGCGAAGAAUUUCUGUUACAUGAUUUUAUACAAGAUUAUGACAAAGGCAUUUUCAAAGAAAACAUUUCUAUCUAAUUAAAAUCCAUUGAUCACACAUGCUCCUAUUAGGUUAAGGAUAACUCCUUGGCCUUCCUCCCUCAAGAGCUUUCUGGAUUUCUUCAGUAAUUACAUUAAAAAGAAUCGAAGAAGCCCAGGCGUGGUGGCUCACGCCUGUAAUGCCAGCACUUUGGGAGGCCGAGGUGGGCAGAUCACAAGGUAAGGAGAUCGAGACCAUCCUGGCUAACAUGGUGAAACCCCGUCUCUACUCCUGGGCUCAAGCAAUAUUCCUGCCUUGGACUCCUUAAGUACUGGGAUUUCAGGUGUGAGCCACUGCUCCUAGCUGGAAAAACAGUGCUUUUAAAUUUUUAUUUAUUGAUUGUUGAGAUGGGGUUUCACUCGUCGCCCAGGCUGGAGUGCAAUGGUGUGAUCUUGGCUCACUGCAACCUCCGCCUCCCGGGUUCAAGCGAUUUCCCUGCCUCAGCCUCCCAAGUAGCUAGGAUUACAGGUGCGCG
RNAcentral lists this long non-coding RNA (1041 nucleotides) under Homo sapiens (human). RNAcentral describes it as "non-protein coding lnc-UBAP2-1:3". The record is from RNAcentral. Lineage: Eukaryota; Metazoa; Chordata; Mammalia; Primates; Hominidae.